CGGACGGGUGAGUAACGCGUGAGAAUCUGCCAAAAGGACUGGGACAACCACUGGAAACGGUGGCUAAUACCGGAUGUGCCCUGCGGGGUGAAAGGUUAACUGCCUGAAGAUGAGCUCGCGUCUGAUUAGCUAGUAGGUGUGGUAAAGGCGCACCUAGGCGACGAUCAGUAGCUGGUCUGAGAGGACGAUCAGCCACACUGGGACUGAGACACGGCCCAGACUCCUACGGGAGGCAGCAGUGGGGAAUUUUCCGCAAUGGGCGAAAGCCUGACGGAGCAAGACCGCGUGAGGGAGGAAGGCUCUUGGGUUGUAAACCUCUUUUGUCAGGGAAGGACACAAUGACGGUACCUGACGAAUCAGCAUCGGCCAACUCCGUGCCAGCAGCCGCGGUAAUACGGAGGAUGCAAGCGUUAUCCGGAAUUAUUGGGCGUAAAGCGUCCGCAGGUGGCUCAUCAAGUCUGCGGUCAAAGACCGGGGCUUAACCCUGGAAAGGCCGUGGAAACUGAUAAAGCUAGAGUACCGUAGGGGUAGAGGGAAUUCCCGGUGUAGCGGUGAAAUGCGUAGAGAUCGGGAAGAACAUCGGUGGCGAAAGCGCUCUACUGGACGGUGACUGACACUCAGGGACGAAAGCUAGGGGAGCGAAUGGGAUUAGAUACCCCAGUAGUC
RNAcentral lists this ribosomal RNA (666 nucleotides) under uncultured bacterium. Its description in RNAcentral is "bacterial SSU rRNA". It matches the Rfam family "Bacterial small subunit ribosomal RNA", at positions 99 to 795 of the family's 1533-position model. The record is from RNAcentral.